RNAcentral lists this long non-coding RNA (431 nucleotides) under Vigna radiata. RNAcentral's name for it is "long non-coding RNA (VRAD_LNC001191)". The record is from RNAcentral. Lineage: Eukaryota; Viridiplantae; Streptophyta; Magnoliopsida; Fabales; Fabaceae.
UCUCAUGUGUGUAUUUUGUCCCUGUAUCAAAGUAUUACAACUCGGAAAUAAAAGGAAGUGGGGUCCACGUUGUGAAAAAUAAAAAUGAGAAUAGUAAUGGGUGAGAAUUACAUUUCUGGUGCAGAAAACAGUUCCAGUUCCAGUGACCGGUGUGUGUGAUGAUUCUUUUCCAUAAUAAAAUAAAGACAAUUUAGGUAGGGUGUUACUCCCUCCACCUCCACCAAAUCUUCCUGUACCUCCCCAAACUUCUUUAAAAAAAAAAUUAUUUACAAAAAGUACCAGUUUAACUUUAUAUUUAUUUACUUAUAUCUUAUUUUUACUCUCUCUCACUGCUCCACCCCCACCCCCACUCUCUCAACUCUCACUUUUCCAAAUCCGUUGUUUCCACCCCGAACUUUUACUUCCCGAUCUGUUUAUUUUCAUCCCUUAAC